AUUGAACGCUGGCGGCAUGCUUUACACAUGCAAGUCGAACGGUAACAGCACUUCGGUGGCUGACGAGUGGCGAGCGGGUGAGUAAUACAUCGGAACGUGCCUAGUAGUGGGGGAUAACUACUCGAAAGAGUAGCUAAUACCGCAUGAGAUCUAAGGAUGAAAGCAGGGGACCUUCGGGCCUUGCGCUACUAGAGCGGCUGAUGGCAGAUUAGGUAGUUGGUGGGAUAAAAGCUUACCAAGCCGACGAUCUGUAGCUGGUCUGAGAGGACGACCAGCCACACUGGGACUGAGACACGGCCCAGACUCCUACGGGAGGCAGCAGUGGGGAAUUUUGGACAAUGGGCGCAAGCCUGAUCCAGCAAUGCCGCGUGCAGGAUGAAGGCCUUCGGGUUGUAAACUGCUUUUGUACGGAACGAAAAGCCCUCUUCUAAUACAGGAGGGUCAUGACGGUACCGUAAGAAUAAGCACCGGCUAACUACGUG
Molecule: ribosomal RNA, 482 nt
Filed under: uncultured bacterium
Lineage: Bacteria
Description: partial 16S ribosomal RNA
Rfam family: Bacterial small subunit ribosomal RNA
Source: RNAcentral